Small nuclear RNA from Nannospalax galili (Upper Galilee mountains blind mole rat), 103 nucleotides. Lineage: Eukaryota; Metazoa; Chordata; Mammalia; Rodentia; Spalacidae. The record is from Ensembl.
GUACUCGCUUCAACAGCACAUAUGCUAAAAUUGGAAUGAUACAGAGAUUAGCAUGGCCCUUGUGCAAGGAGGACACACAAAUUUGUGAGCGUUCCAUAUUUUU